AGUCCUUCUACUUCUCAAAAAGGGAACCGUGUUUGGGGAAGAAUCAAAUGUCCAUAUUUCUUCUUUCAGCCUUAUCAAGGGUUCUGGUUGGAACUUUCCACCAACUUUUUCCUUGUUUUCCUCUCUCUAGCCUUGGCUCUGCCACUCUCUGCCUGUCACAGUGAAGUCAGCAGCAGGCCUCCAGGGCAAGGCUGUGAAACUGUGAAAUUUGCCAUAAGGGUGUCAGGUAUUUCUUACUGGCUUCCCAGAAUCUUAGAUCAAGAAACCUUUCCCUGGCAUGUCCCCUUCAGGUUGCAUUUGGACGGUGUCUUGAGUUGAAGGAGAAGGAGCUGUAGAGGGCAAGAGCAAAGCAGCAGAGGAAAAAUGCCCCAGAGCUGCAGGCCAACCCGGGUGGACACGCUGCGCGUCAGACAUACCCACCUUGCCCGGGCUAUGCUCAAGCAGAGUCAACUUAUUUUCUACUGAGAGUUCAAGCCCGUCAAGAUAAUGCUGCUCUUCCUUAUCCUUCUGUUGCCGGUAGUUUUGAAAUUUAGUUUUGUCAGCCUCUCAGCACCAGCGCGCUGGAACUGUCCUGAAGGCUCUCCCUCAGGAAACGGGAAUGCCACUUGUGUGGGUCCUGCACCCUUCUUAAUUUUCUCCCAUGGAAACAGUAUCUUUAGGAUUGACUUGGAAGGAACUAAUCAUGAGCAAUUGGUGGCAGAUGCUGGAAUAUCAGUGCUCAUGGACUUCCAUUACAAUGAGGAAAGAAUCUAUUGGGUCGAUCUAGAAAGACAACUUUUGCAAAGAGUUUUUCUGAAUGGGACAAGGCAAGAGAAAGUAUGCAAUCUAGAGAAAAAUGUUUCAGGAAUGGCAAUAAAUUGGAUCAAUGAAGAACUUAUUUGGUCAAAUCAACAGGAAGGCACCAUUACAGUAACAGAUAUGAAAGGAAACAAUUCCCGUGUUCUCUUAAGCGCCUUAAAAUAUCCUGCAAAUGUAGCAGUUGAUCCAGUAGAAAGGUUGAUGUUUUGGUCUUCAGUGGUGGCCGGCAGCCUUCACAGGGCAGAUGUUACAGGUGUGGAAGUGAGACUUCUGUUGGAGACAUCAGAGGAAAUUGCAGCUGUGUCAUUGGAUGUGCUUGAUAAACGGCUCUUUUGGAUUCAGUAUAACAGAGAAGGAGGCAGUUCUCGUAUUUGUUCCUGUGAUUAUGAUGGAGGUUCUGUCCAUUUUAGCAAACAUCUCACACAGCACAAUGUGUUUGCAAUGUCCCUUUUUGGUGAUCACAUCUUCUAUUCAACAUGGAAAAAGAAGACAAUUUGGGUAGCUAACAAGCACACUGGGAAGGAUAUGGUUAAAAUGAACCUCAAUCCAGCAUUUGUACCACCUGGUGGAAUUAAAGUAGUGCAUCCACUUGUUCAGCCCAAGGCAGAGGGUGAUGCUUGGGCCUCUGAUCAGAAACUCUGCAAACUGAGGAAGGGUAACUGCAGAGGCAGCAUGUGUGGGCAAGAGCCAAAGUCCCACGUGUGCACGUGUGCCGAGGGAUACACUUUAAGCCAAGAUGGAAGGAAGUGUGAAGAUGUCAACGAGUGUGCCUUCUGGAAUCAUGGCUGUACUCUCGGGUGUGAAAACACCCCUGGAUCCUAUUAUUGCACGUGUCCUGCAGGAUUUGUUCUGCUCCCUGAUGGGAAACGGUGUCAUCAAUUAAUUUCCUGCCCAAGCAAUGUGUCUGAAUGUAGCCAUGACUGUGUUCUGACAUCAGAUGGUCCCAUAUGUUUCUGUCCUGAAGACUCAGUACUUGAGGCAGAUGGAAAAACAUGUAGCGGCUGUUCAUCACCUGAUAAUGGUGGGUGCAGCCAGCUCUGCCUUCCUCUCAGUCCAGUAACCUGGGAAUGUGGCUGCUUUCCUGGGUAUGACCUACAGUUGGACAAAAAGAGCUGUAGAGCUUCAGGACCACCACCGUUUUUGCUGUUUGCCAAUUCUCAAGAUAUUCGACACAUGCAUUUUGACGGAACAGAUUAUGAAACUCUGCUCAACCAGCAAAUAGGAAUGGUUUUGGCCCUAGAUCAUGACCCUGUGGAAAAUAAGGUAUACUUUGCCCAUACAGCCCUGAAAUGGAUAGAGAGAGCUAAUAUGGAUGGUUCCCAGCGAGAAAGGCUUUUCGAGGAAGCAGUCGAUGUGCCAGAAGGUCUUGCCAUAGACUGGAUUGGCCGUAAAUUCUAUUGGACAGACAGAGGGAGAUCUCUCAUUGAAGGGAGUGAUUUAAAUGGAAAAUACCGCGAAAUAAUCAUUAAGGAAGACAUCUCUCAGCCACGAGGAAUUGCUGUUCAUCCAGUGGCCAAGAGAUUAUUCUGGACUGAUAUGGGGACUAAUCCACGAAUUGAAAGUUCAUCCCUUCAAGGCAUUGGCCGACAGGUUAUAGCCAGCUCGGAUCUGGUCUGGCCCAGCGGAAUAACAAUUGAUUACUUAACUGACAAGUUGUAUUGGUGCGAUGCCAAGCAGUCUGUGAUUGAAAUGUCCAAUCUGGAUGGUUCGAGACGCCAGAGACUUGCCCAGAACGAUGUAGGUCACCCAUUUGCGGUAGCUGUGUUUGAGGAUCACGUGUGGUUCUCUGACUGGACUAUGCCAUCGGUAAUAAGGGUGAACAAGAGGACUGGCAAAAAUAGGGUACGUCUCCGAGGCAGCAUGCUGAAGCCCUCAUCACUGGUUGUAGUUCAUCCAUUGGCAAAACCAGGAACAAAUCCCUGCUUACACCAAAAUGGAGGCUGUGAACAUAUCUGCAAAGAGAGUUUUGGAACUGCUCAGUGUUUGUGUCAUGAAGGUUUUCUGAAAGCCCCAGAUGGAAAAAUGUGUCUGGCUCUGAAUGGCCAAGAGAUAUUGGCAGGUCGUGGGAAAGAUCUGAGUGAUGGAGUAAUGCCAGUGGACACCUUACCCAGAAGCAGAGAGCUUGAAGAUAACCUUACAGAAUCUCAACACAUUCUAGUGGCUGAAAUCAUGGUUUCAGAUGACGAGGACUGCGGCGCUGCGGGAUGCAGUGCGCAGGCGCGGUGUGUUACAGAGGGAGAGGACGCCACGUGUCAGUGUUUGAAAGGAUUUGCUGGAGAUGGAAACCUGUGUUCUGAUAUAGAUGAGUGUGAGCUGGGCACCUCGGUGUGCCCUCCUACCUCCUCCGAGUGCAUCAAUACCGAAGGUGGUCACGUCUGCCGCUGCUCGGAAGGCUACCAGGGAGAUGGGAUCCACUGUCUCGAUAUUGAUGAGUGCCAACUAGGUGUGCACACCUGUGGGGAAAAUGCCACCUGUACAAAUACGGAGGGAAACUACACCUGCACAUGUGCUGGCCGCCCCUCUGAACCCGGACGGAUUUGCCCUGACCCUACUCCACCCUCUCACCUCGGGGAGGAUGGCCGCUAUUCUGUGAGAAAUAGUUACUCUGAAUGCCCGCCGUCCCACGACGGGUACUGCCUCCACGGUGGUGUGUGUAUGUAUAUUGAAGCCGUCAACAGCUAUGCCUGCAACUGUGUUUUUGGCUACGUUGGCGAGCGAUGUCAGCACAGAGACUUGAAAUGGUGGGAGCUGCGCCACGCUGGCCUCGGGCGACAGUGGAACGUCACGGUGGUGGCCGUCUGCGUGGUGGUGCUGGUCCUGCUGCUGCUCCUGGGGCUGUGGGGGGCUCACUACUACAGGACUCAGAAGCUGCUAUCAAAAAAUCCAAAGAAUCCUUAUGAAGAGUCAGGCAGAGAUGUGAGUGGUAUCAGGCCUGCAGACGGCGAGGCUGGGAUGUCCUCUUGCCCCCAACCUUGGUUUGUGGUGAUAAAGGAACAUCAAAAUCUCAGGAAUGGGAGUCAACCUGGAGCCCCCAAGGACGGCCUGGGAGCAGAUGUUGGCCAGUUUUCUUCCCUGGAGCCUGGUGAAUGACUGUCUUUACCUGGAUCUUAAAUGUUUCCCUGAGUGUGAAAAGUCUCAUCUAUGCACAGAAACAGUAGUUAAAUUGUAGAAGCUAUGUGAGCAGCUGGCUGCAUUGGAAUACACAGAGCGUUAGAGAAGUGUGUUUGGACUGGACUCCUGUCUUACGUGACGUUACCAUUUUCACUCAAAGCUCUGGUCACAUAGUGGUCUGCUAGGUCUCUUUGAGAAAGCACACAAAAUGAGGGACUUCUUGUUUUGAGUUAGAUUGGGUUUUGAGGUCAUUCUUGGGGUUUGGGAUCUAUCAUGGUGGCUGUAGGUAUGGUUCCAGUGAAACUGCAAAUGGCUCCAAGAAAAUUUGUUGCAUGUUCUAGUAGAAAGGGUUCUUGUGAAUUUAAGUUGAUCUGGGGGUUCUCCUAAGGAUUUGGGAGGAUUUAAGUCUUAUCAAGGGCUAGCCCUCAGCCGGAUGCCGAGCCAUCUGUGAAAUCCACCCACACCCCUGGAAAAGUGGCUAUAAAAUCAACCCAGGUUCUCAGGCUGUUCUGGAACUCAGUCUGCUUCAGGGUCAUUGCAGCCGACAUCAUGGAGGAAGGAACCCCAGAUGUAUAUGGACACAGAACAAGGAUGCUGUAUUCCAUCCUCCAGUGAUAAAGGCUCUGGUCCCCAGGGAAUAGGGUAUAGCUUUCAUCUCCCCUCCUAUGGGGCACGGUCCAUUGCUGUCGGGGUUGAAAAAUCCCAUUCUCUCCUGUCAGCUAACCCAUUACGGCAACAAAGGGCUCCAGAUCCACCACACCAAAUGGAGCUGACUCAGUGAAAACUGGAAUUAAAAGUAAGAUCAAGGAGAACAAACUGUACCGAUGGACAGUAAUACUUCCUUUCAAAAAGUAGAAGAAAAAUACAGAUUUUUGUUCUACAAUCUCUAUGACUAAUCACUAACUCAGCAUCAAAGACAAAUAUUUACUGUGCUUUUAUUUCUUCCUUCAAGCAGUCUCACUGCAGGUUGUCAAGUAAAAGUAAUUGGGAGAAUCACUCGGUAACUCAUUAGAAACCAAAAUGGGGACAGUAGUGUCUGUAAAAAGUGUUGUCUUCAAUAAUCAAUACAGAGAGGUUUUUGUUUUUGUUUUUACCUACAGCCCCAGAAGAAAUCUGGAGUUACGGCAAUCAUUCAUACUGGUUUGGUCAGUUACAAAGUAAUUUCUUUGAUUUGGAUAGAACAUUUAGCUCAAUCUUAUGAAAUGGUUGGCAUAUUAAAAUUAUUGUUACAUAGGCAUUUAACUUCUCCUUGCUAUGGUCCAUGCUGGUAAUUUUUCAGACUGAAUUAUGAUAAAUUAAUGAGCAAUGUAUUAACCUAGAACCUUGAUUUCUUCAGAAUUAGACGGCUUAAUUUUUUCUAUUUUAAAAUCUUUGAACGAAGACAUUUAAUCUUUAAAACAUUACCCAAGAGACUUUUGUGUUUCUCAUUCAUUACUGUCUUUUUCCCCACAGAAUUUAUUUCUAAUGAAAAUGGUAAAUUUCCCCUUUGUGUGUUUGCACAGAAUUUUUACUUAUUUUCAAAAUAUGAGAUUGUAAGCAGAUUGCCUGAUUUAUUUUCAUUUUGAACAACAAUGAAGUUCUUCUAAUUAUUUAAAUAAAAUCAGCAUAAAGCAUUAAUAUUUUAUUGUGUAGCUAGUUAAGUAAUACAUUACAGUUUAAAGGGUUGUUAGAGUUGAACCAAAGUGAUUUGUCAGGCUUGCUAUUGUACUUCGGAAAAAAAGUGUUUGAAAUCUCUAACGUUAUAAAGUAAAAUUUCACAAGGUGUUCCAAUUAAACAUCAUUCUUGUGACCAAGACUAUGAACCAUAGGAACCAUUGUUACCAUGAAUUACACAAUGUAAUAUCAUAACAGUG
RNA transcript from Sus scrofa (pig), 5762 nucleotides. It is a transcript of the gene named epidermal growth factor, with no coding region annotated. The record is from RefSeq and is marked provisional. Lineage: Eukaryota; Metazoa; Chordata; Mammalia; Artiodactyla; Suidae.